UUAAAGUCAUUAGACUGGUUCGGACAUAAGUUCAAACAAGUGGUUCGGUUGGGGCUUCGGGCAGACUAACCAGCCAGCGGCGAACCGCAGGUGCGCUGCCUAAGCAAAGGGGACAUUUCACGGAGGGUUGACGCGUGGGCCCGGCCGGCCAUUCCCUCCCGUCUCAUAUUCAAUUGUCUCGGAUUCGAUAUUGUACGGACUGUACGCUAGCUCCGGUUUACAGCACCACACGCACCCGCAACUCGAAGUUGCAGGCGGUGGGCCGGAAGUGCGCGACGGGAGUUCCUGGCUGCUCGUGCUUUCGCAGUCAGCUUUUGAAAGCCAAACUUUUUAAUGAUCCUUCCGCAGGUUCACCUACGGAAA
Molecule: unclassified non-coding RNA, 363 nt
Filed under: uncultured fungus
Lineage: Eukaryota; Fungi
Description: sequence contains ITS1
Source: RNAcentral